Molecule: ribosomal RNA, 752 nt
Filed under: uncultured archaeon
Lineage: Archaea
Description: bacterial SSU rRNA
Rfam family: Archaeal small subunit ribosomal RNA
Source: RNAcentral
GGACAACCUACCCUCAGAUCGGGGAUAACUCCGGGAAACUGGAGAUAAUACCGGGUAAUCCGUGAACGCUGGAAUGCCUUACGGUUUAAAGCUUUAGCGUCUGAGGAUGGGUCUGCGGCCGAUUAGGUAGUUGCUGGGGUAACGUCCCAACAAGCCGAUAAUCGGUACGGGUUGUGAGAGCAAGAGCCCGGAGAUGGAUUCUGAGACACGAAUCCAGGUCCUACGGGGCGCAGCAGGCGCGAAAACUUUACACUGCGCGAAAGCGCGAUAAGGGGACCUCGAGUGCGUGCGCAAUGCGUACGCUUUUCAUACGCCUAAAAAGCAUGUGGAAUAAGAGCCGGGCAAGACCGGUGCCAGCCGCCGCGGUAACACCGGCGGCUCGAGUGGUGGCCGCUAUUAUUGGGCUUAAAGGGUCCGUAGCCGGACCAGUUAGUCCCUUGGGAAAUCUUACGGCUUAACCGUAAGGCUGCCAAUGGAUACUGCUGGUCUUGGGACCGGGAGAGGCAAGAGGUACCUCAGGGGUAGGAGUGAAAUCCUGUAAUCCUUGAGGGACCGCCAGUGGCGAAGGCGUCUUGCUAGAACGGGUCCGACGGUGAGGGACGAAAGCUAGGGGCACGAACCGGAUUAGAUACCCGGGUAGUCCUAGCCGUAAACGAUGCGAGCUAGGUGUCACGUGGAUUGCGAAUCCAUGUGGUGCCGUAGGGAAACCGUGAAGCUCGCCGCCUGGGAAGUACGGCCGCAAGGCUGAAACU